RNAcentral lists this unclassified non-coding RNA (383 nucleotides) under Hevea brasiliensis (rubber tree). Lineage: Eukaryota; Viridiplantae; Streptophyta; Magnoliopsida; Malpighiales; Euphorbiaceae. The record is from RNAcentral.
ACGGAUUUGUAACACUUUUGGAGUCUGCAGAGGAUACUGCAUUGGACAUUUUGGAUGCUUCGAAUGAGUUGGCUCUGUUUCUAGCCCGUGCAGUGAUUGAUGAUGUAUUAGCCCCAUUAAAUCUGGAGGAGAUUAGCAGCAGGCUUCCGUCCAAUUGCAGUGGAAGUGAAACCGUCCACAUGGCUCGUUCACUUGUUUCUGCUCGUCAUGCAGGUGAGAGGCUUCUUCGAUGCUGGGGUGGUGGCACUGGUUGGGCAGUGGAGGAUGCAAAGGACAAGAUUACAAAGCUUCUUGAGGAGUAUGAGAGUGGAGGAGACGUAGGGGAAGCAUGCCAGUGCAUCCGUGACCUUGGGAUGCCUUUCUUCAAUCAUGAGGUAGUGAAG